This 497-nucleotide ribosomal RNA is filed under the name uncultured bacterium. RNAcentral's name for it is "partial 16S ribosomal RNA". It matches the Rfam family "Bacterial small subunit ribosomal RNA", at positions 28 to 507 of the family's 1533-position model. The record is from RNAcentral.
GAUGAACGCUGGCGGCGUGCCUAAUACAUGCAAGUCGAGCGAACAGACGAGGAGCUUGCUCCUCUGACGUUAGCGGCGGACGGGUGAGUAAAACGUGGAUAACCUACCUAUAAGACUGGGAUAACUUCGGGAAACCGGAGCUAAUACCGGAUAAUAUAUUGAACCGCAUGGUUCAAUAGUGAAAGACGGUUUUGCUGUCACUUAUAGAUGGAUCCGCGCCGCAUUAGCUAGUUGGUAAGGUAACGGCUUACCAAGGCAACGAUGCGUAGCCGACCUGAGAGGGUGAUCGGCCACACUGGAACUGAGACACGGUCCAGACUCCUACGGGAGGCAGCAGUAGGGAAUCUUCCGCGAUGGGCGAAAGCCUGACGGAGCAACGCCGCGUGAGUGAUGAAGGUCUUCGGAUCGUAAAACUCUGUUAUUAGGGAAGAACAAAUGUGUAAGUAACUAUGCACGUCUUGACGGUACCUAAUCAGAAAGCCACGGCUAACUACGUG